RNAcentral lists this ribosomal RNA (256 nucleotides) under uncultured bacterium. RNAcentral's name for it is "partial 16S ribosomal RNA". It matches the Rfam family "Bacterial small subunit ribosomal RNA", at positions 333 to 606 of the family's 1533-position model. The record is from RNAcentral.
UUCUGCCUACGGGGGGCAGCAGUGGGGGAUAUUGCACAAUGGGGGAAACCCUGAUGCAGCGACGCCGCGUGGGUGACGAAGUAUUUCGGUAUGUAAAGCCCUAUCAGCAGGGAAGAAGAUGACAGUACCUGACUAAGAAGCCCCGGCUAACUACGUGCCAGCAGCCGCGGUAAUACGUAGGGGGCAAGCGUUAUCCGGAUUUACUGGGUGUAAAGGGAGCGUAGACGGCUGUGCAAGUCUGAAGUGAAAUGCCGGG